RNAcentral lists this ribosomal RNA (492 nucleotides) under uncultured bacterium. Its description in RNAcentral is "partial 16S ribosomal RNA". It matches the Rfam family "Bacterial small subunit ribosomal RNA", at positions 29 to 507 of the family's 1533-position model. The record is from RNAcentral.
AGUGAACGCUGGCGGUAGGCCUAACACAUGCAAGUCGAACGGCAGCACAGUAAGAGCUUGCUCUUACGGGUGGCGAGUGGCGGACGGGUGAGGAAUACAUCGGAAUCUACUUUUUCGUGGGGGAUAACGUAGGGAAACUUACGCUAAUACCGCAUACGACCUACGGGUGAAAGCAGGGGAUCUUCGGACCUUGCGCGAUUGAAUGAGCCGAUGUCGGAUUAGCUAGUUGGCGGGGUAAAGGCCCACCAAGGCGACGAUCCGUAGCUGGUCUGAGAGGAUGAUCAGCCACACUGGAACUGAGACGCGGUCCAGACUCCUACGGGAGGCAGCAGUGGGGAAUAUUGGACAAUGGACGCAAGCCUGAUCCAGCCAUACCGCGUGGGUGAAGAAGGCCUUCGGGUUGUAAAGCCCUUUUGUUGGGAAAGAAAAGCAGCAGGUUAAUACCCCGCUGUUCUGACGGUACCCAAAGAAUAAGCACCGGCUAACUUCGUG